GACGAACGCUGGCGGCGUGCCUAACACAUGCAAGUCGAGCGGAGUCGAUCGACGGAAGCCUUCGGGCGGAAGAUGGUUGACUUAGCGGCGGAUGGGUGAGUAACGCGUGGGCAACCUGCCUCGAAGACCGGGAUAACAGCCCGAAAGGGCUGCUAAUACCGGAUGUGGUCAAAGAUCCGCAUGGAUUUUUGAUUAAAGGGGAAACCCGUUUCGAGAUGGGCCCGCGUCCUAUCAGCUAGUGGUGAGGUAAAAGCUCACCAAGGCGACGACGGGUAGCCGGCCUGAGAGGGUGACCGGCCACACUGGAACUGAGACACGGCCCAGACUCCUACGGGGGCAGCAGUGGGGGAUCUUGCACAAUGGGCGAAAGCCUGAUGCAGCGACGCCGCGUGAGCGAAGAAGGCCUUCGGGUUGUAAAGCUCUGUCUGGAGGGACGAAGGAAGUGACGGUACCUCCGGAGGAAGCCACGGCUAACUACGUG
Molecule: ribosomal RNA, 481 nt
Filed under: uncultured bacterium
Lineage: Bacteria
Description: bacterial SSU rRNA
Rfam family: Bacterial small subunit ribosomal RNA
Source: RNAcentral